GAUGAAGAACGUAGCGAAAUGCGAUAAGUAAUGUGAAUUGCAGAAUUCAGUGAAUCAUCGAAUCUUUGAACGCACAUUGCGCCCCCUGGUAUUCCGGGGGGCAUGCCUGUCCGAGCGUCAUUACAACCCUCAAGCCUGGCUUGGUGUUGGGCGACGUCCCCUUUGGGGACGCGCCUCGAAACGCUCGGCGGCGUGGCACCGGCUUUAAGCGUAGCAGAAUCUUUCGCUUUGGAAGUCGGGGCCCCGUCUGCCGGAAGACCUACUCGCAAGGUUGACCUCGGAUCAGGCAGGGAUACCCGCUGAACUUAAGCAUAUCAAUAAGCGGAGGA
RNAcentral lists this unclassified non-coding RNA (329 nucleotides) under soil metagenome. RNAcentral describes it as "partial contains 5.8S ribosomal RNA, internal transcribed spacer 2, and large subunit ribosomal RNA". The stretch from base 1 to 120 matches the Rfam family "5.8S ribosomal RNA", at positions 35 to 154 of the family's 154-position model. The record is from RNAcentral.